CAGGUUGAAAGUCAGCCUGCCAUUUCGGAAAGCUUUGGGUGCAUGCUUGCUCGCCGCAAAUUGAGCCCAUGGAAAGUAUCAGUGUGGAGAUCCCCGCGGUUUUCUAACUGCGUACACGCUUCGUGUUCAAUGCCUAAACUUCCCCCUGAAAGGAAAUAUUCUCCGCUUGAAUACUAGGGUCCCUGAACUCAGCAAGAGUGAAGGAAGGGAUUGAGGAGCAGUGAAGGCUGCUUUCUCGUCGGCAAAGCUGAAAUGACCCUAUUCGGACCGGCGCGGAUAUGCAAAUCGCUGCCAUUUGAUUGAUAUUUUCCCGACUUCUUUCUGAUAGAUAGUGUCU
This 337-nucleotide small RNA is filed under the name Histoplasma capsulatum var. duboisii H88. RNAcentral describes it as "Histoplasma capsulatum H88 hypothetical RNA". The record is from RNAcentral. Lineage: Eukaryota; Fungi; Ascomycota; Eurotiomycetes; Onygenales; Ajellomycetaceae.